AACAAUUAAUUAAAUGGCACACCCUAAUGACUACGCCUUUGCAAGGGAGGAACAUCCAAUCAUUAUACUUAACUAUCACAACACAGUUGGGAGGUGAUACAAAGUACAGGACUGAAACCAAGGCAGGAGUUUCAUUCUGCAAUUUACUUACCUUCAUUUGGCACGGUAAGUUCUUUCUCCUACUUCACUUGCAAACAUCACGCUCAGGUUCCUGAGGUGGCUAUAGCAUCUAGGACCGUCCGUGGAACUUUGAUCAACAGCCGGUCUGGUUUGGCGUCGCAACAAAGAAGGACAAAGUCAGUUGACAACGGAUACUUGGGACUGCCGAGAGGAUCAUUGGUACUCUUAAGGAUUGCCAGACGUUUGGGCUGACAAAAUUCUCUUGGACUCACUACAUCCCAGAAGGAACCUUUUCUAGCUCCUUUCCACUGUCAUAGUGACGUGGAGCGUCACGAAGAUCCUAUCUUGACAUCGUGGCAGCUCCAGAGUAGACGCUUAGGUUUAGUAAAAGCUUCUGUCUUCUUCGCAUCCGCCACCAAGCAGUCUGAGAGGGCCAGCGUAUAAAAGACACCAUCUCAUUUCAGACAUCAUAUGCCACAAUGAUCACUUUCAAAAUAUUCACCGUUCUCCUUCUCCUUGUCAGAAUCACCAGUCUGCCAACAAGGAGAAAAUGGUCAAGGAUGAUAGAGGAGAAUUUAGGACCAGAAGACGACCACAAGGAUAAUACAGUUUUUUUACCGGAGGCCAGCCAACAUAGUCUUAAUGUUCCCUCAGAAAGCUCACGCAAAUAUGACACCACAAAUAGAAGGAAUUCCCAUGACGUCGCAAAUGACAAACUGAACGCACAUGAAGAAAAUAUCCCUUGCCGGAAUACCGGUGACUCCAGCCAUGAAAACCAACCGUCUUGUCGACAUACCCGUGACUCCAAUCAU
Syngnathus acus (greater pipefish) is the source of this 932-nucleotide long non-coding RNA. RefSeq lists it as uncharacterized. The record is from RefSeq and is a predicted model, not a curated record. The transcript has 5 exons. Lineage: Eukaryota; Metazoa; Chordata; Actinopteri; Syngnathiformes; Syngnathidae.